Molecule: long non-coding RNA, 279 nt
Filed under: Ananas comosus (pineapple)
Lineage: Eukaryota; Viridiplantae; Streptophyta; Magnoliopsida; Poales; Bromeliaceae
Description: long non-coding RNA (ACOM_LNC041679)
Source: RNAcentral
AGAAAGGAUAUAUUGCACUACUAGUCCUUCAAUUUUUAAAUUCGACUUUCAAAACUCUGAACUUUCAACGAUGUUUCAUUUUCAAUUCUGAACUUUCAGCAAUGUUUUAUUUCAGAUCUCUUUCUUAGAAUAAAACUUAUUGGUUAUAGCAAUAGACAAUAGGCAUCACAGACAUGGACACGGAUACGGACACGAAGUAUGAAACACGGCACGACUUGGACACGAUGACUAGACACAGCUCUAAAAAAAAUUAAGACACAGGCACAAAAUAGACACCAC